AUUAACGCUGGCGGCGUGCCUAAUCCAUGCAAGUCGAGCAAACAGACGAGGAGCUUGCUCCUCUGACGUUAGCGGCGGACGGGUGAGUAACACGUGGAUAACCUACCUAUAAGACUGGGAUAACUUCGGGAAACCGGAGCUAAUACCGGAUAAUAUAUUGAACCGCAUGGUUCAAUAGUGAAAGACGGUUUUGCUGUCACUUAUAGAUGGAUCCGCGCCGCAUUAGCUAGUUGGUAAGGUAACGGCUUACCAAGGCGACGAUGCGUAGCCGACCUGAGAGGGUGAUCGGCCACACUGGAACUGAGACACGGUCCAGACUCCUACGGGAGGCAGCAGUAGGGAAUCUUCCGCAAUGGGCGAAAGCCUGACGGAGCAACGCCGCGUGAGUGAUGAAGGUCUUCGGAUCGUAAAACUCUGUUAUUAGGGAAGAACAAAUGUGUAAGUAACUAUGCACGUCUUGACGGUACCUAAUCAGAAAGCCACGGCUAACUACGUG
RNAcentral lists this ribosomal RNA (496 nucleotides) under uncultured bacterium. RNAcentral's name for it is "partial 16S ribosomal RNA". It matches the Rfam family "Bacterial small subunit ribosomal RNA", at positions 29 to 507 of the family's 1533-position model. The record is from RNAcentral.